CUGGACAGAGCCUUUUCCAAAAGAAUUCUGACCGACAAUGUAAGCAAGGCGAUUGUCCUUCAAUGCUCCUGCAAGAAUUUCAGAAGCACUGGCAGAACCUUUAUUUAUAAUUACUACAACCGGCAUUUCUUUGGGUACAGAAGUUUUUAUCUUGCUGGCUUUAUGCUCGUCAAUUUUUACAGAGUUGCGGCCUUUUGUAGAAACAAUGACACCUGAAUCAAUAAACUUGUCAGCAACAUCAACAGCUGCAGUCAAAAGUCCACCCGGAUUAUUACGA
Molecule: non-coding RNA, 277 nt
Filed under: uncultured Treponema sp.
Lineage: Bacteria; Pseudomonadati; Spirochaetota; Spirochaetia; Treponematales; Treponemataceae
Source: RNAcentral